ACCUCUAGCAUUACUAGUAUUAGAGGCACUGCCUGCCCAGUGACACACGUUUAACGGCCGCGGUACCCUGACCGUGCAAAGGUAGCAUAAUCACUUGUUCUUUAAAUAGGGACUCGUAUGAAUGGCAUCACGAGGGCUUAACUGUCUCUUACUUUUAACCAGUGAAAUUGACCUGUCCGUGAAGAGGCGGACAUGAAACAAUAAGACGAGAAGACCCUGUGGAGCUUCAAUUUACUAGUACAACUAAAGACUACACAGACCUAUAGGCCCCUAAACUCUCACACCUGUACUAAAAAUUUUGGUUGGGGUGACCUCGGAGCACAACUAAACCUCCGAAAAAAUCAAUGCUAAGACUACACAAGCCUAAGCAAAUUAAGAUCCACAAUUGACCCAAUAAUUUGAUCAACGGAACAAGUUACCCCAGGGAUAACAGCGCAAUUCUAUUCUAGAGUCCAUAUCGACAAUAGAGUUUACGACCUCGAUGUUGGAUCAGGACAUCCUAAUGGUGCAGCAGCUAUCAAG
This 522-nucleotide ribosomal RNA is filed under the name Cercopithecus mona (Mona monkey). Its description in RNAcentral is "partial 16S ribosomal RNA". It matches the Rfam family "Bacterial large subunit ribosomal RNA", at positions 1818 to 2569 of the family's 2925-position model. The record is from RNAcentral. Lineage: Eukaryota; Metazoa; Chordata; Mammalia; Primates; Cercopithecidae.